This 496-nucleotide ribosomal RNA is filed under the name uncultured bacterium. Its description in RNAcentral is "partial 16S ribosomal RNA". It matches the Rfam family "Bacterial small subunit ribosomal RNA", at positions 28 to 507 of the family's 1533-position model. The record is from RNAcentral.
GAUGAACGCUGGCGGCGUGCCUAAUACAUGCAAGUCGAGCGAACAGACGAGGAGCUUGCUCCUCUGACGUUAGCGGCGGACGGGUGAGUAACACGUGGAUAACCUACCUAUAAGACUGGGAUAACUUCGGGAAACCGGAUCUAAUACCGGAUAAUAUAUUGAACCGCAUGGUUCAAUAGUGAAAGACGGUUUUGCUGUCACUUAUAGAUGGAUCCGCCCCGCAUUAGCUAGUUGGUAAGGUAACGGCUUACCAACGCAACGAUGCGUAGGCGACCUAAGGGGGGGAUCGCCAACCAGGGAGAGGGGACGAGCACCAAACCCCGACGGGAGGCACGGGGAGGAAUCCUUCGGGAGGGGGCGAAAGCGAAAAGGGGAAAAGGGGCGGAAGUAUGAAAGGGCUAGGGCUCGUAAAACCUGAUUAUUAGGGAAGAAAAAAGGUGUAAUACACUUUGCCAUAAUGAACGGACCCAAAGAAUAAACCCCGGCUAACUCCGUG